CGGAGGGUGCGAGCGUUGUCCGGAUUUAUUGGGUUUAAAGGGUGCGUAGGUGGCUAAUUAAGUCAGUGGUGAAAUACAGCCGCUCAACGGUUGAGGUGCCAUUGAUACUGACUAGCUUGAAAUAAUUGGAGGCUGCCGGAAUGGAUGGUGUAGCGGUGAAAUGCAUAGAUAUCAUCCAGAACACCGAUUGCGAAGGCAGGUGGCUACGAUUUGUUUGACACUGAGGCACGAAAGCAUGGGGAGCAAACAGGAUUAGAUACCCUGGUAGUCCAUGCUGUAAACGAUGAGGACUCGCUGUUGGUGUUCACGCAUCAGCGGCUUAGGGAAACCGUUAAGUCCUCCACCUGGGGAGUACGCCGGCAACGGUG
Molecule: ribosomal RNA, 368 nt
Filed under: uncultured organism
Description: bacterial SSU rRNA
Rfam family: Bacterial small subunit ribosomal RNA
Source: RNAcentral